CAGUCGAACGAACUCUGGUAUUGAUUGGUGCUUGCAUCAUGAUUUACAUUUGAGUGAGUGGCGAACUGGUGAGUAACACGUGGGAAACCUGCCCAGAAGCGGGGGAUAACACCUGGAAACAGAUGCUAAUACCGCAUAACAACUUGGACCGCAUGGUCCGAGUUUGAAAGAUGGCUUCGGCUAUCACUUUUGGAUGGUCCCGCGGCGUAUUAGCUAGAUGGUGAGGUAACGGCUCACCAUGGCAAUGAUACGUAGCCGACCUGAGAGGGUAAUCGGCCACAUUGGGACUGAGACACGGCCCAAACUCCUACGGGAGGCAGCAGUAGGGAAUCUUCCACAAUGGACGAAAGUCUGAUGGAGCAACGCCGCGUGAGUGAAGAAGGGUUUCGGCUCGUAAAACUCUGUUGUUAAAGAAGAACAUAUCUGAGAGUAACUGUUCAGGUAUUGACGGUAUUUAACCAGAAAGCCACGGCUAACUACGUGCCAGCAGCCGCGGUAAUACGUAGGUGGCAAGCGUUGUCCGGAUUUAUUGGGCGUAAAGCGAGCGCAGGCGGUUUUUUAAGUCUGAUGUGAAAGCCUUCGGCUCAACCGAAGAAGUGCAUCGGAAACUGGGAAACUUGAGUGCAGAAGAGGACAGUGGAACUCCAUGUGUAGCGGUGAAAUGCGUAGAUAUAUGGAAGAACACCAGUGGCGAAGGCGGCUGUCUGGUCUGUAACUGACGCUGAGGCUCGAAAGUAUGGGUAGCAAACAGGAUUAGAUACCCUGGUAGUCCAUACCGUAAACGAUGAAUGCUAAGUGUUGGAGGGUUUCCGCCCUUCAGUGCUGCAGCUAACGCAUUAAGCAUUCCGCCUGGGGAGUACGGCCGCAAGGCUGAAACUCAAAGGAAUUGACGGGGGCCCGCACAAGCGGUGGAGCAUGUGGUUUAAUUCGAAGCUACGCGAAGAACCUUACCAGGUCUUGACAUACUAUGCAAAUCUAAGAGAUUAGACGUUCCCUUCGGGGACAUGGAUACAGGUGGUGCAUGGUUGUCGUCAGCUCGUGUCGUGAGAUGUUGGGUUAAGUCCCGCAACGAGCGCAACCCUUAUUAUCAGUUGCCAGCAUUAAGUUGGGCACUCUGGUGAGACUGCCGGUGACAAACCGGAGGAAGGUGGGGAUGACGUCAAAUCAUCAUGCCCCUUAUGACCUGGGCUACACACGUGCUACAAUGGAUGGUACAACGAGUUGCGAACUCGCGAGAGUAAGCUAAUCUCUUAAAGCCAUUCUCAGUUCGGAUUGUAGGCUGCAACUCGCCUACAUGAAGUCGGAAUCGCUAGUAAUCGCGGAUCAGCAUGCCGCGGUGAAUACGUUCCCGGGCCUUGUACACACCGCCCGUCACACCAUGAGAGUUUGUAACACCCAAAGUCGGUGGGGU
RNAcentral lists this ribosomal RNA (1411 nucleotides) under Lactiplantibacillus plantarum. RNAcentral's name for it is "bacterial SSU rRNA". It matches the Rfam family "Bacterial small subunit ribosomal RNA", at positions 59 to 1436 of the family's 1533-position model. The record is from RNAcentral. Lineage: Bacteria; Bacillati; Bacillota; Bacilli; Lactobacillales; Lactobacillaceae.